RNAcentral lists this ribosomal RNA (458 nucleotides) under uncultured Hyphomicrobiales bacterium. Its description in RNAcentral is "bacterial SSU rRNA". It matches the Rfam family "Bacterial small subunit ribosomal RNA", at positions 8 to 507 of the family's 1533-position model. The record is from RNAcentral. Lineage: Bacteria; Pseudomonadati; Pseudomonadota; Alphaproteobacteria; Hyphomicrobiales.
AGAGUUUGAUCCUGGCUCAGACGAACGCUGGCGGCAGGCUUAACACACUGCAAGUCGAACGCGUCAUCUUCGGGAUGGGAGUGGCGAGACGGGUGAGUAACGACGUGGGAACUACCCUUUGGUUCGGAAUAACUCAGGGAAACUUGAGCUAAUACCGGAUACGUCCUUCGGGAGAAAGAUUUAUCGCCAAUGGAUGGGCCCGCGUCGGAUUAGCUAGUUGGUGGGGUAACGGCCUACCAAGGCAACGAUCCGUAGCUGGUCUGAGAGGAUGAUCAGCCACACUGGGACUGAGACACGGCCCAGACUCCUACGGGAGGCAGCAGUGGGGAAUAUUGGACAAUGGGCGCAAGCCUGAUCCAGCCAUGCCGCGUGAGUGAAGAAGGCCUUAGGGUUGUAAAGCUCUUUCAGCGGGGAAGAUAAUGACGGUACCCGCAGAAGAAGCCCCGGCUAACUUCGUG